Molecule: ribosomal RNA, 873 nt
Filed under: Punctelia rudecta
Lineage: Eukaryota; Fungi; Ascomycota; Lecanoromycetes; Lecanorales; Parmeliaceae
Description: SSU rRNA
Rfam family: Bacterial small subunit ribosomal RNA
Source: RNAcentral
GAGAGGAUGUAUAGCAAUAGCUACUUGCAUCAUUGUACAGAUGAUGCAAGAUCGACUAUGUCGAAUAAAAUUCUAGGUAGAAUUAUGAUAAUGACAUUGUCUGCCUAUGUGUCUUGACCAAAUUACGUGCCAGCAGUCGCGGUAAUACGUAGAAGACUAGUGUUAUUCAUGUUUAAUCGGUUUAAAGGGUACCUAGACGGUAGAUCAAGCUUUUACAUAUAAAUUAUGUUAAUUAAAGGACUAAUUUGCUAGAGUUACUUACGAGGGGGUAUUAAAGUACUGCUGGUGUAGAGAUGAAAUUCUGUCAUACCUCUUUUCGAAAGAAAAAUCAUGGCACAGGUAUAGGCGAAGGCAUCCCCUUAUGUGAUAACUGACGUUGAGGGACGAAGGCUUUGUGUAACAAACAGGAUUAGAUACCCUAGUAGUUGAAGCAGAAAAUGAUGAAUGUCAUAGAUUAGAUAUAUAAGUUUAUUCUAUAAAUGAAAGUGUAAGCAUUCCACCUCAGGAGUAAUUUGGCAACAUUGGAAUUGAAAUCAUUAGACCGUUUCUGAAACCAGUAGUGAAGUAUGUUGUUUAAUUUGAUGAUCCGCAAAAAACCUUACCACAAUUUGAAUAUUUAUAUUUUUUUUUUAUUGUUUUCUUCUUAAUUUUCUUCUAAUAACAUAUUCAACAUGUAAAAAGAAGAAAGUUAAUAAAGAGGCAAUAAUAUAUAUUUACAAGCGUUGCACGGCUGUCUUCAGUUAAUGUCGCGAGACUUUGGUUAGUUCCAUUAAAUUAACGUAAACCCUUACUUUAUUUUUAUAUAGAGUAGUUCCCCGCUAUAUGGAUAUGAUANCAGGGACUAAGACAAGUCAUCAUGGCCUAAAUAUUGUG